CGGUAACAGCUCAAAUUUGAAAUCUGGGUCUUUCAGGCUCCGAGUUGUAAUUUGUAGAAGAUGCUUUGGGUGCGGCCCCGGUCUAAGUUCCUUGGAACAGGACGUCAUAGAGGGUGAGAAUCCCGUAUGUGAUCGGUGGCCUGCGCCCGUGUAAAGCUCUUUCGAC
Molecule: ribosomal RNA, 166 nt
Filed under: Pezicula rhizophila
Lineage: Eukaryota; Fungi; Ascomycota; Leotiomycetes; Helotiales; Dermateaceae
Description: partial large subunit ribosomal RNA
Rfam family: Eukaryotic large subunit ribosomal RNA
Source: RNAcentral